This 253-nucleotide ribosomal RNA is filed under the name uncultured bacterium. Its description in RNAcentral is "partial 16S ribosomal RNA". It matches the Rfam family "Bacterial small subunit ribosomal RNA", at positions 526 to 779 of the family's 1533-position model. The record is from RNAcentral.
CGUAGGGCGCAAGCGUUGUCCGGAAUUAUUGGGCGUAAAGAGCUUGUAGGUGGCUUGUCGCGUCUGCCGUGAAACCCGAGGCUUAACCUUGGGCGUGCGGUGGGUACGGGCAGGCUAGAGUGCGGUAGGGGAGACUGGAAUUCCUGGUGUAGCGGUGAAAUGCGCAGAUAUCAGGAGGAACACCGAUGGCGAAGGCAGGUCUCUGGGCCGUUACUGACACUGAGAAGCGAAAGCAUGGGGAGCGAACAGGAUU